CGCGCAGGGAGCGCCCGGUGGCGCCGGCGGUUUCGGCGGCGGCCUCGGGGACGUCUUCGGGGGCCUGUUCAACCGGGGCGGCGCGG
This 86-nucleotide transfer RNA is filed under the name Streptomyces termitum. RNAcentral describes it as "tRNA-Glu". Lineage: Bacteria; Bacillati; Actinomycetota; Actinomycetes; Kitasatosporales; Streptomycetaceae. The record is from RNAcentral.